UUGCCUACGGGAGGCAGCAGUGGGGAAUAUUGCACAAUGGGGGAAACCCUGAUGCAGCAACGCCGCGUGAGUGAAGAAGUCAUUCGUGAUGUAAAGCUCUAUCAGCAGGGAAGAAAAUGACGGUACUUGAGUAAGAAGCCACGGCUAACUACGUGCCAGCAGCCGCGGUAAUACGUAGGUGGCAAGCGUUAUCCGGAAUGACUGGGCGUAAAGGGUGCGUAGGUGGUUUAGUAAGUUGGCGGUGUAAUUCCGGGGCUCAACCUCGGCGCUACCGCCAAAACUAUUAGACUAGAGUGCAGGAGGGG
This 305-nucleotide ribosomal RNA is filed under the name uncultured bacterium. Its description in RNAcentral is "bacterial SSU rRNA". It matches the Rfam family "Bacterial small subunit ribosomal RNA", at positions 335 to 657 of the family's 1533-position model. The record is from RNAcentral.